CACGUAGGGCGCAAGCGUUGUCCGGAAUUAUUGGGCGUAAAGAGCGCGUAGGCGGCCCUGUAAGUCCGCUGUGAAAGUCAAGGGCUCAACCCUUGAAUGCCGGUGGAUACUGCAGGGCUAGAGUCCGGAAGAGGCGAGUGGAAUUCCUGGUGUAGCGGUGAAAUGCGCAGAUAUCAGGAGGAAUACCGGUGGCGAAGGCGGCAUCCUGGACCGGUAUUGACGCUGAGGCGCGAAAGCUAGGGGAGCAAACGGG
This 253-nucleotide ribosomal RNA is filed under the name uncultured bacterium. RNAcentral's name for it is "partial 16S ribosomal RNA". It matches the Rfam family "Bacterial small subunit ribosomal RNA", at positions 524 to 776 of the family's 1533-position model. The record is from RNAcentral.